GAGCCUGACCAGCCAAGUAGCGUGAAGGAUGACUGCCCUAUGGGUUGUAAACUUCUUUUAUAUGGGAAUAAAGUGGGGUAUGUAUACCCUUUUGUAUGUACCAUUUGAAUAAGGAUCGGCUAACUCCGUGCCAGCAGCCGCGGUAAUA
This 148-nucleotide ribosomal RNA is filed under the name uncultured bacterium. Its description in RNAcentral is "partial 16S ribosomal RNA". It matches the Rfam family "Bacterial small subunit ribosomal RNA", at positions 379 to 525 of the family's 1533-position model. The record is from RNAcentral.